Molecule: ribosomal RNA, 497 nt
Filed under: uncultured bacterium
Lineage: Bacteria
Description: partial 16S ribosomal RNA
Rfam family: Bacterial small subunit ribosomal RNA
Source: RNAcentral
GAUGAACGCUGGCGGCGUGCCUAAUACAUGCAAGUCGAGCGAACGGACGAGAAGCUUGCUUCUCUGAUGUUAGCGGCGGACGGGUGAGUAACACGUGGAUAACCUACCUAUAAGACUGGGAUAACUUCGGGAAACCGUAGCUAAUACCGGAUAAUAUUUUGAACCGCAUGGUUCAAAAGUGAAAGACGGUCUUGCUGUCACUUAUAGAUGGAUCCGCGCUGCAUUAGCUAGUUGGUAAGGUAACGGCUUACCAAGGUAACGAUGCAUAGCCGACCUGAGAGGGUGAUCGGCCACACUGGAACUGAGACACGGUCCAGACUCCUACGGGAGGCAGCAGUAGGGAAUCUUCCGCAAUGGGCGAAAGCCUGACGGAGCAACGCCGCGUGAGUGAUGAAGGUCUUCGGAUCGUAAAACUCUGUUAUAAGGGAAGAACAUAUGUGUAAGUAACUGUGCACAUCUUGACGGUACCUAAUCAGAAAGCCACGGCUAACUACGUG